CUGUUAUCUAAAGUUGGGUUACUGCAUAUUUACCUUGCUAGCAAUCUAAUUUCAUGGAUACUGCCGCGAAUGCUGGUCUACCCGUUCGGAGAUUCAAGUUUAUAUAAGCAGUUCCGGAUGCAACUAGUGACCAUGAAAUUCGGAGGGAAUCUGUAGGAGAAGAAGGGAAUCCAGAUUCAAGCUGUGAUAGAGCAAUGGACUGAGUUUCAAUAUGUUCAUAUUCUGAUAGUGCAAUAUUGGGAUUUUUGU
Molecule: long non-coding RNA, 249 nt
Organism: Rosa chinensis
Lineage: Eukaryota; Viridiplantae; Streptophyta; Magnoliopsida; Rosales; Rosaceae
Exons: 3
Source: RefSeq, a predicted model, not a curated record